UAGGGAAUCUUCGGCAAUGGGGGGAACCCUGACCGAGCAACGCCGCGUGAGUGAAGAAGGUUUUCGGAUCGUAAAGCUCUGUUGUCAGAGACGAACGUGUGUGAGAGUGGAAAGUUCACACAGUGACGGUAACUGACCAGAAAGGGACGGCUAACUACGUGCCAGCAGCCGCGGUAAUACGUAGGUCCCGAGCGUUGUCCGGAUUUAUUGGGCGUAAAGCGAGCGCAGGCGGUUUUGUAAGUCUGAAGUCAAAGGCAGUGGCUUAACCAUUGUGUGCUUUGGAAACUGCAGGACUUGAGUGCAGAAGGGGAGAGUGGAAUUCCAUGUGUAGCGGUGAAAUGCGUAGAUAUAUGGAGGAACACCGGUGGCGAAAGCGGCUCUCUGGUCUGUAACUGACGCUGAGGCUCGAAAGCGUGGGUAGCGAACAGGAUUAGAUACCC
This 440-nucleotide ribosomal RNA is filed under the name uncultured bacterium. RNAcentral's name for it is "bacterial SSU rRNA". It matches the Rfam family "Bacterial small subunit ribosomal RNA", at positions 355 to 787 of the family's 1533-position model. The record is from RNAcentral.